This 446-nucleotide ribosomal RNA is filed under the name uncultured bacterium. Its description in RNAcentral is "partial 16S ribosomal RNA". It matches the Rfam family "Bacterial small subunit ribosomal RNA", at positions 338 to 795 of the family's 1533-position model. The record is from RNAcentral.
CCUACGGGGGGCAGCAGUCGAGAAUCAUUCACAAUGGGGGAAACCCUGAUGGUGCGACGCCGCGUGGGGGAAUGAAGGUCUUCGUAUUGAAAACCCCUGUCAUGUGGGAGCAAAUUAAAAAGAUAGUACCACAAGAGGAAGAGACGGCUAACUCUGGGCCAGCAGCCGCGGUAAUACAGCGGUCUCAAGCGUUGUUCGGAAGCACUGGGCGUAAAGCGUGCGUAGGCUGUUUCGUAAGUCGUGUGUGAAAGGCGCGGGCUCAACCCGCGGACGGCACAUGAGACUGCGAGACUAGAGUAAAGGAGGGGGAACCGGAAUUCUCGGUGUAGCAGUGAAAUGCGUAGAUAUCGAGAGGAACACCCGUGGCGAAGGCGGGUUCCUGGACAUUAACUGACGCUGAGGCACGAAGGCCAGGGGAGCGAAAGGGAUUAGAUACCCGUGUAGUC